GAUGAAGAACGUAGCGAAAUGCGAUAAGUAAUGUGAAUUGCAGAAUUCAGUGAAUCAUCGAGUCUUUGAACGCACCUUGCGCCCUUUGGCCAUUCCGAAGGGCAUGCCUGUUUGAGUAUCAUGAACACCUCAACUCUUCAUGGUUUUCCAUGAUGAGCUUGGACUUUGGGGGUCUUGCUGGCCUGUGGGUCGGCUCCUCUCAAAUGAAUCAGCUUGCCAGUUUUUGGUGGGCAUCACAGGUGUGAUAACUAUCUACGCUUGUGGUUUUCCACCAGGGUAACCUUCAGCAGUGGAGGUUCACUGGAGCUUACAAAUGUCUCUCCUCUGUGAGGACAGCCCUUUGAAUGUUUGAUCUCAAAUCAGGUAGGACUACCCGCUGAACUUAAGCAUAUCAAUAAGCGGAGGA
RNAcentral lists this unclassified non-coding RNA (406 nucleotides) under soil metagenome. RNAcentral's name for it is "partial contains 5.8S ribosomal RNA, internal transcribed spacer 2, and large subunit ribosomal RNA". The stretch from base 1 to 121 matches the Rfam family "5.8S ribosomal RNA", at positions 35 to 154 of the family's 154-position model. The record is from RNAcentral.